This 683-nucleotide long non-coding RNA is filed under the name Capsella rubella. RNAcentral's name for it is "long non-coding RNA (CRUB_LNC002799)". The record is from RNAcentral. Lineage: Eukaryota; Viridiplantae; Streptophyta; Magnoliopsida; Brassicales; Brassicaceae.
UUAAUAACUAUGAAUCUUGUUGAGUAGGUAUAGCUAUGAAAAAAUCAUAUAUAUGCCAAAACAGCAUUACGAUACUAAAAAUCAUUAUUAGAAAAUAUAAGUUUUUAAUCCAAAUUUUUUAGAAUUGGUAGAGAAAAAAAGAUAACGCGAUUUAGAAUGAAUAAGAGAAUGAAAAAUGGUAAAAAAAUCCAAAUAAAAGUCAAAAGAAAUGCCAAGUCAUACAGAUCUCAAUUCGCCGAAUAUAACGAUAGUAAGUUUGUUUGCUAUUUUUAGCAGAGUUGUAUAUGUAUGCGUAUUGCUAUUGGAGUUGUGAUUUCUAAUCUAUGCAAAAGAGAGACAAAAGUGAAGUGACAACAAAGUUGUUGUCUCACAGUUAGUUCUUUUUUAAGAGUGUUGGAAACAAAGACAUUACAAGAAAGGAAACUAAAGAAGAAGAAGAGAGUAUUCGCAAUGGCAACAAACUUAGAUUGCCUGAUGCAGAUUCAGUGACCAUCGAAGAAGAGUUUCUCUGCUUUGCUUAGUUCAUUUGAUUUUUUUUUUUCUUUUUCUUAAAAGAUUCUUCUCUUCAAUCCCCAGAGACCAUUCUUCCUUAUACACAGGUAUCUGAUCAUCUCAUUUUCAGAUAAUUGUUGUUAUUUUUUAUAUACACUGACUCAAUAAUAUGCAUAAUUUUUGACAAAAAA